This 558-nucleotide ribosomal RNA is filed under the name uncultured organism. Its description in RNAcentral is "SSU rRNA". It matches the Rfam family "Bacterial small subunit ribosomal RNA", at positions 900 to 1469 of the family's 1533-position model. The record is from RNAcentral.
CUCAAAGGAAUUCACGGGGGCCCGCACAAGCGGAGGAACAUGUGGUUUAAUUCGAUGAUACGCGAGGAUCCUUACCCGGGCUUAAAUUGCAGAUGAAUUACGGUGAAAGCCGUAAGCCGCAAGGCAUCUGUGAAGGUGCUGCAUGGUUGUCGUCAGCUCGUGCCGUGAGGUGUCGGCUUAAGUGCCAUAACGAGCGCAACCCUUGUUGUCAGUUACUAACAGGUUCCGCUGAGGACUCUGACAAGACUGCCAUCGUAAGAUGUGAGGAAGGUGGGGAUGACGUCAAAUCAGCACGGCCCUUACGUCCGGGGCUACACACGUGUUACAAUGGGGGGUACAGAGGGCCGCUACCACGCGAGUGGAUGCCAAUCCCAAAAACCUCUCUCAGUUCGGACUGGAGUCUGCAACCCGACUCCACGAAGCUGGAUUCGCUAGUAAUCGCGCAUCAGCCACGGCGCGGUGAAUACGUUCCCGGGCCUUGUACACACCGCCCGUCAAGCCAUGGGAGCCGGGGGUACCUGAAGUGCGUAAACGCGAGGAGCGCCCUAGGGUAAAACU